AACGCACUAGUUAAAUGGCAUAACUCCGUGCUACGGACACGUUAUUAUAAGUUCGAAUCUUAUGUGCGUUU
Molecule: transfer RNA, 71 nt
Filed under: Arthothelium ruanum
Lineage: Eukaryota; Fungi; Ascomycota; Arthoniomycetes; Arthoniales; Arthoniaceae
Description: tRNA-Arg
Rfam family: tRNA
About the family: Transfer RNA (tRNA) molecules are approximately 80 nucleotides in length. Their secondary structure includes four short double-helical elements and three loops (D, anti-codon, and T loops). Further hydrogen bonds mediate the characteristic L-shaped molecular structure. tRNAs have two regions of fundamental functional importance: the anti-codon, which is responsible for specific mRNA codon recognition, and the 3' end, to which the tRNAs corresponding amino acid is attached (by aminoacyl-tRNA synthetases). tRNAs cope with the degeneracy of the genetic code in two manners: having more than one tRNA (with a specific anti-codon) for a particular amino acid; and 'wobble' base-pairing, i.e. permitting non-standard base-pairing at the 3rd anti-codon position.
Source: RNAcentral